This 75-nucleotide ribosomal RNA is filed under the name Altererythrobacter sp. RNAcentral's name for it is "partial 16S ribosomal RNA". It matches the Rfam family "Bacterial small subunit ribosomal RNA", at positions 1 to 74 of the family's 1533-position model. The record is from RNAcentral. Lineage: Bacteria; Pseudomonadati; Pseudomonadota; Alphaproteobacteria; Sphingomonadales; Erythrobacteraceae.
CAAACUUGAGAGUUUGAUCCUGGCUCAGAACGAACGCUGGCGGCAUGCCUAACACAUGCAAGUCGAACGAACCCU